ACGAGUUCAAACGCUCUCCGCGGAGAUUUGAAGGAGCUAGUGCUCUCCUUGUCUUCAUCAAUGAAAUCUCACCUUGUUUAUAGCAUUAUUAGAACCUCCUACCAAGACAUUUCCAAUGAGUUUCUAUGACCUUCGACUAUCCGAUGUUACUUCUUUGUUCUAUCACUGUCAAUAGGUGUGGACUCGGAUGAUGGACGAUGUUUUCGCAGCUGUGUAGAGCCAGACCAAAAGAUCUGUGGAACAAAAUCUCACUGAGACAACCUACUACAAGUGAGCCAUGUGCAGUGCCCGAGGAUUCCCAACUUUCAACUGAUUUAGAUUGUGGAGGGGAGGAUAGCCGGUGUCAACUAGAACAUUGUACUUUCUGCGAUUAUAGGGUGUGUUGCCAGGUGG
Stegodyphus dumicola is the source of this 393-nucleotide long non-coding RNA. The record is from RefSeq and is a predicted model, not a curated record. NCBI's taxonomy places the organism in Eukaryota, Metazoa, Arthropoda, Arachnida, Araneae, Eresidae.